Acinonyx jubatus (cheetah) is the source of this 2301-nucleotide long non-coding RNA. RefSeq lists it as uncharacterized. The record is from RefSeq and is a predicted model, not a curated record. The transcript has 5 exons. NCBI's taxonomy places the organism in Eukaryota, Metazoa, Chordata, Mammalia, Carnivora, Felidae.
UAGUUUAUAGCCUACCAAAUUGUUUUCUUUCCUUCAUUACCAAUGCUUUAAAAAAUCUAAUUAACUCAAUAAAGUAUUUAGUCCUCAUGAACUCUUGCAAGCAAAACAGGUUUUAGAAAAAGAAAGCAACUACAAUAUAUGUAUUUUUUUAAUGAGUGGAACAUUACCAAUUUCUUAACUGCCAUCUACUUAAAAUCUAAGUGCAUUUUCCAGUAGUAGUUUCGUGCUGUGUGGAUGACACUAUCAUGCUAACUCUUGCUUUGUGUGGGUUUGGUGUAGGCUUUUGAAAAGCAAGACGUGUCUAGGAGGGAGGCACCAGGGAACUUCCCUCCCUCGCUUGAGCACAGUCCAAGAUGAAAGUUUCUGGGUUGUUUCCCUUCGCUUCCUCUCACCCUCGCUCCCCCUCGGAGCCGCAGAGCCAGCAAUUGUGCAAGAAGAGCCGGGUGUGCAGGGCGCGUAUCACCAAGCGCAUGGUACGAGCCGCCGACUCUGGUGAUUAAUUAUCAGUUGCCGCUGGCCUCACACUAACACGUCGGCUUUCGGGGCAGAGCCAGCACACCCAGCCGCCGGCAGCGCGGCCCGGACCGAGCAGCGGCUCUGGGGAGGACGCCGCGGCUGCGCCCGAGUUUACACCUUCUCCAGAUGGCUCCUGGCAACCUUGGCUGGGCAUUUCAACAUAUAGGAAACUCAGCCAGAACAGCCUGAAGAUUUCAGGGGACAAGAUCAUGGUCCAAAUUGGAAAAUGCAGCUCACUCCAGGAAGGACUAACAGUCACCUGACUAGGAGAAGACUGGCCCCAAAGCGCUGGGAAGAAGUCAUUCUAUAGUGACCUAAUCUGGAGUGGAAUGUGCUGUAUCUGUCCUGAGGCCAAGAGGUGGCACUGAGUCUAACAGGCUCAACCUGAUAUUCUAGCAGACCUGACAAAUGAACCAUCAGCUGUCCUGUAGCUCUGAUGUCCAAAGCCAUUUGGAAUAUCUGUGAUUCCAAGUUCUAAAUCCCCAUCAUGAUAAAACCUUAAAAUAAUGCCUCUAUUGAAACUACUUUGAACAUUUAUUGAUAACACAUAAGCACUUUCUUUAAAAAAUUUUUUUAAUAUUAAUUUAUUUUUGAGAGAGAGAGAGACAGGGCACAAGCGGGGGAGGGGCAGAGAGAGAAGGAGACAGAGAAUCUGAAGCAGGCUCCAGGCUCUGAGCAGUCAGCACAGAGCCCGACAGGGGGCUCAAACUCACAGACCGCAAGAUCAUGACCUGAGCCGAACUCACACGCUUAACCGACUGAGCCACAUACAUAAGAAUUUUCUAAUUGACGUAUUUGACACUGUGAGCCUGUUUAAACACACUGAGGAGCUGCCUGAAGAUUUAGGAAGUGCAGAGACAGGAGAGACCUGGUAGCAAUCAUUUUCUUCAAGGAAACUAAGAUUGUAAGAGAUUUAAGAAAACCUGUCUUGGAACAAACAACCCAAGCCCCUAAACUAGGACUCCAAACAUUGUGUCUACUGGUCUAGCUCAAACCAGGCUGUAGCUCUAUAUGCAGGAACCUUUCUCUUUUUACUAAGAAGUUUUGUUUUUUAAAUAGCAACAGCUCUACUAAAAUAUGCUCACUUAUAUCUGUCAUAUCCACUAGUGUAAAGAGAAAAAGAAUGUAAGUACAGAGAGUACAAACAAUUGAAUAAUUUCUAUGUUCCUUAAGAACAGUUAUUCUCAAAGUAUGGUCUCAGGACCAGCAGCAUCAACAUCACCUGGGGACUUGUCAGAAAGGCAAAUACUCAGGCCCUCCCCAAAACUGGCAGAAUCAAGGAGCGCCUGGGUGGCUCAGUAGGUUAAGCAUCUGACUCUUGAUUUUGGCUUAGGUCAUGAUCUCACAGUUCAUGGGGUUGGGCUCUGUGCUGACAGCAUGGAGCCUGCUUGGGAUUCUCAUCUCCCCACCUCCGCUCCCCCAACCCCAGCUCUCUACCCCUCCUUCGUUUGUACGCACACACACACACACACGCGCUCUCUCUCGCAAAAUAAAUUUCUUUAAAAAAAUCAGCAGAUCAAAACAUCUAGGAGUAGGGCCCAGCAGUUUGUGACUAAACAUGACCUCUAAGUGAUUCAGAUGCAUGCUCAAAUUUAAUUGCCUUAUCUUUAGCAUAUACACUAUGAUUUACUGAGCUUCAUAUUAAAAAUAUUUAAAAUGGCUGAUGCUCCUUAAGGAUAUAAUCAACUGGCUAGGAGCCAAAAACAGACCCACAAAUAGAUCUAUUUUUUUAAUGUUUAUUUAUUUGGGGGGGGGGAGAGAGAGACAGAGAGAGAGAGAGAGAGA